RNAcentral lists this ribosomal RNA (305 nucleotides) under uncultured bacterium. RNAcentral describes it as "bacterial SSU rRNA". It matches the Rfam family "Bacterial small subunit ribosomal RNA", at positions 333 to 637 of the family's 1533-position model. The record is from RNAcentral.
GAAUCCCUACGGGAGGCAGCAGUGAGGAAUAUUGGUCAAUGGGCGAGAGCCUGAACCAGCCAAGUCGCGUGAGGGAGUACUGCCCUAUGGGUUGUAAACCUCUUUUGUCGGGGAGCAAAAGCCGGACGUGUCCGGCUGUGAGAGUACCCGAAGAAAAAGCAUCGGCUAACUCCGUGCCAGCAGCCGCGGUAAUACGGAGGAUGCGAGCGUUAUCCGGAUUUAUUGGGUUUAAAGGGUGCGCAGGCGGAUUUUUAAGUCAGCGGUCAAAUCUUGGGGGUUAACCCCAUCCAGCCGUUGCAACUGGG